This 72-nucleotide transfer RNA is filed under the name Camelus bactrianus (Bactrian camel). It matches the Rfam family "tRNA". Rfam says of the family: Transfer RNA (tRNA) molecules are approximately 80 nucleotides in length. Their secondary structure includes four short double-helical elements and three loops (D, anti-codon, and T loops). RNAcentral also lists the same sequence under 3 other names. The record is from Rfam by way of RNAcentral. Lineage: Eukaryota; Metazoa; Chordata; Mammalia; Artiodactyla; Camelidae.
GAGGAUAUAGCUCAGUGGUACAGUGCAUGCUUAGCAUGCAUGAGGUCCUGGGUUCAAAGCCCAGUACCUCCA